RNAcentral lists this ribosomal RNA (526 nucleotides) under Bifidobacterium breve. RNAcentral describes it as "bacterial SSU rRNA". It matches the Rfam family "Bacterial small subunit ribosomal RNA", at positions 157 to 696 of the family's 1533-position model. The record is from RNAcentral. Lineage: Bacteria; Bacillati; Actinomycetota; Actinomycetes; Bifidobacteriales; Bifidobacteriaceae.
CGGGUGGUAAUGCCGGAUGCUCCAUCACACCGCAUGGUGUGUUGGGAAAGCCUUUGCGGCAUGGGAUGGGGUCGCGUCCUAUCAGCUUGAUGGCGGGGUAACGGCCCACCAUGGCUUCGACGGGUAGCCGGCCUGAGAGGGCGACCGGCCACAUUGGGACUGAGAUACGGCCCAGACUCCUACGGGAGGCAGCAGUGGGGAAUAUUGCACAAUGGGCGCAAGCCUGAUGCAGCGACGCCGCGUGAGGGAUGGAGGCCUUCGGGUUGUAAACCUCUUUUAUCAGGGAGCAAGGCUUCGGUUGAGUGUACCUGUUGAAUAAGCACCGGCUAACUACGUGCCAGCAGCCGCGGUAAUACGUAGGGUGCAAGCGUUAUCCGGAAUUAUUGGGCGUAAAGGGCUCGUAGGCGGUUCGUCGCGUCCGGUGUGAAAGUCCAUCGCUUAACGGUGGAUCCGCGCCGGGUACGGGCGGGCUUGAGUGCGGUAGGGGAGACUGGAAUUCCCGGUGUAACGGUGGAAUGUGUAGAUA